GUCACGAUAGCUCAAGUGGUAGAGCAUCGGCGUAUAUAGCCGAAGAUCAUGGGUUCGAAUCCCGUUCAUGACA
Non-coding RNA from Cimex lectularius (bed bug), 73 nucleotides. NCBI's taxonomy places the organism in Eukaryota, Metazoa, Arthropoda, Insecta, Hemiptera, Cimicidae. The record is from the annotation of a RefSeq genome assembly.